Long non-coding RNA from Clupea harengus (Atlantic herring), 3214 nucleotides. RefSeq lists it as uncharacterized. Lineage: Eukaryota; Metazoa; Chordata; Actinopteri; Clupeiformes; Clupeidae. The transcript has 2 exons. The record is from RefSeq and is a predicted model, not a curated record.
AUUGCAUUACAGUAUACAUUGCACAUUAGUGAAAUAGUUUGGGUUUAAAUUAAGCAUUAAUGAAUCCCUUUUGUCCUGAACAGGAAAUUCCCAAAGGCUAGCACAGCAGCGUCUGUGCUUCUGUACAGCUUGUGGGACGAGAAGGACAUCCAGAUCCUCCUGAAGAAGCAAGGAAUGAACAAGACCACAUUUGUGAAUGAAGACACAACGGCUGCCCACAAAUCAAUGCAGGUUGUUGAAUGAUGGCAGACAAGAUGGAUGGUAGGUUUUGUUCUUUCAAACCUUCUGCUGAAAUGUAAAGAAGUCACACCAGAAGAAGUGGAACUCAUUGUAACUGGAUGCACCAUUAAGAGAUUCAAUCUUGGUACUUUCUGUAACCGGCGUUAUAUCGUCCUGUUGAACAAUGUUGUUGUAUUUUUUCUGGGGAAUUGCCUUACUUUAGGCAGUCUAAUUCUCAGUAGUAUCAAUGGGGCUGAUAGUAGAGAUCUACAUUGAAUGAGCUCUGAAGAGAAAAAUCACUGGAUGCUGUCUGAACAUUUAUGGACUCCUCUGUGCAGGUGGAGACUUGUGUGCUUGUGAACUUCGCACACCCUUGAAAAGGAUUCCAUCUUGUCUAUUUUGGGAUGAUUGCCCCCCUGUAAUUAAGAAGAUUCUGUCACCGUCACCAUUUCGUUAUUGUUACUUACAUUUGCUACAAUCCAACCGUUAAUGUCAUCAUGGACACACACUUCUACAUGGAUAUAUGGAAAGACAUAUUAAGCCUGUACUACAAACAGAUGAAAACAAAGAGAUGAGAAAAGAGUAAAGCAAACAUUCCACUGUACAUACUGUUAGGCCAUAUAUACAUUUGUCAGACUUUCAGGAUGAGUCUGGGAAAGCUUCCUCUCAUGAUCAAAUCUAGGGAGGCUGUUAACAGUAUUAGCAUUUCUUGCAAACUUAACAGACAAGUAAUUCAUCCCUUACCUUAAUCGUGCAAUCCACAUGAAUGAUACUUGGCAGGCAUGAUGUUUUUUGACGGUUUACGGUUUAUUGACGGUUGUUUUAUCAGGGCAUCUAUCUUCACGCUAGCUAUCAGAAUGCAACGCCUCAGAGCUUAAAUAUAAAAAAACGAUGUCUUGCAGCUGUUUUAGCUUGGUUGUGGCGCUUACACAGAAAAUACAGCAUCAUUUUCUUUCAUUUAAUAGCUCAUUGUAUUGGUUCAUAAACCGGCAUUUAUUGAUGCUGCAAUACUUGUUUUUCAUAAAUCUAGCAGAUCAUAUUCACAACUUCUUUUUUUCCUGAUGGAUAAACAUGAAUUGCUAUUACACACCGAAUUGUGUUUGGUGUGCCAAUUCAUCCACUUUUUUGGAACAUUUUACAGUUUACUAUUUACCUUUAUGCCAAAGUUUGAUUGUAAUGCACUAUUAUGUAGUCCCUGUAUUUGACGAAGACCUAUCCAAGAUCUCUUUUUUUUUUUUUACUUAAAUAACUUAAAGAUGCAAAUUGUAUAUCCAUCUGAAUUCUGGCAACAUUGUUAGAUAUUGCUCCAAGAAUUGGUCAGGAUUAGUUUGGGAAUUAAUUUGUCACUGUUAGCAUUAUAGCAAUCCACAUAGAGAUUAUACAUGAUGUUCGCAGAGACUUUAACCUUGUGUUGUUUCCAACAAAUGCUUUUUUUCAUAAAAGGUCAUAGAUCAUUGUUUUAAAUACAAAGAACAAAUAAAAAGUUGAAAUGAUUUCAGUUCACUUUUCUCUUUUUUAUAGUGGAUAGGAUAAAAAGUGUUUAUCUAUUUACUACGCACACAUGUACAACCUUGGGGAUUGGGGAACACGCUACCAGGGAAGAUGAAGUGUUGAUGAAUACAUAUAUUACAAUACAAUAAUAUUAUCCACAGCCUAUGUUACCUGCGUUGUGUAAACAGCACAGUUCCACAUCAAACUCAAACUCACAACCUCGGGCAUGGGAAGUGGGUGUGCUAGCAAGGAUGCUUAAACCCAAUGGUGCUAGCAUCUGUCCCUAACACCUCUCUUAAAGUGUCAGGGAGUGCACAGAACUGUACCCACUGGCUACCAUUACACCUACUCACUACAUCACUUUUGUUUACAUAGGAAGGUUAUUGAGGCUGUUUUACUAGCAUAACUUCAACCCCAGGAGGACACAUAGUAUGUGUUCAAGCUUUAUGGUCUGGCUUUUUGAUGAACUUUGACUACAAUAGGCCCAUAGGCCCUAUACAGUUUUCUUGACAUUCUUCCCACAUAUUUUUCUUGUACAGUAUCUCUUAAGCCUUAAGGUAUAUGACAUGUGGACUUGCAGAGCUUGUCAUAAAGUAAGCUGUAAAGAGCUGCAUUCUGCUUUAUCUGUCUUCUGAAAGAAUGAAUGACAGUAACUGAAAGUUAGAAGGUAAGAUUUGUGCAACGUACAUAUGGAGAUAGAUCUGGAGUCUGAAUAGCUUUAGAUACAGCUGGUUUUAACUAGAUCUAUCUAAUCUAAUAGAUUUAUCUGAGCAUGACUAUUUGUACUCUCAAACUGAGUGAGUAGUGUCCAUUUUCUCUUCUAGUGUCAAACAUCAUGAAGAAACACAACUAAUUCUUGGAAAAGUAGGCUUGGUGGUUUAAUUCCUUAGCUACCAAAACAACUUCAGGAAUCUGCAUGAGUAACAUGUGAAAUUGGGUAGUGUCUCCUUCAGGUAAUAUGGGUGUGUCCAAAGACAGUAUUAUGGGAACUCGUCUGAGCAUGUUGCCAUCAGUCCAGAGAGCUCAGUGCCCCAAAGCACUUCUGUCUACGCAUUUCAGCGCAUCUCCAAGGGAUUUCUCACCCUCACACAGACUACCAUUGUCACUGCCCUGGCCAUGGGGUUACUUGCAGUUUAAUCCAAACCGGUUCUGCACAGGAUCUUUGAUUUAUGAUAAAACCGCCACCGCUGUGGACUGGAUGCAUAUUUAUUUUCUCAACUCAUGCUGAGAUUUGAGUGCACUCCAAUUACAUAAUAGUAUGAGCAAAACUGGGAGUGGUAUAGAAAUGAUGCAUUUAUGGCUGGUGAAAGAAUUAUGAGAUUGUGUCGAGCUCUGUGUCUGAGGCUGGCCAUAUGCAGCAUAUUAGUACAAUCAUAUAAAUGCUGAAUCACAACAUUUACGAAAAUCUUGAAUCUUGAUUAAUAUGAUUUAUUUGUAUUUAUCAGUUUCUAAAACCUUUGUGAUCACAUCAUUCCUCUUCAUUUCAUAAACAUAGCAGAACACA